UGCACAGGUUUACCUGCAGCAGUAUUCCUGCCAGAGCUCCACUCUGGUCAGAGACUUUUAUCCUGAGAACUGCUUUGAGUUAAUUUUCUUGUGUCCACAUCCCCUAUCACAGUAGAAUAACAUGUUUGGAAUGUGAAUGCUCAGCUGUCUGAGAAGGGCACAUCUACUCACGUGAAGCCAGCAGGGCAGCACACUUGUGAUAAACCUUAAUGAAGGGAUCUGAGUUGAUUCUCUGCUUCAGUUGAGCCUAAAAACAUUUGGACAGCAGCAGCAACAGAAACUUCCAACACUGACAAGCAGUGACUGUAAGGGUGGCUAACUGAUGGGGCUCCUCCAAAACCAGAACCUGACUCUGGGUAUCGUUCAACCAGAGGUCAACCACUGGGAGUCAACACCACACCUGUCAUCAAUUGUUCACAACACCAUCAUUGUGCUGAGUGUGUUGACCUUUGUCCUCCAGCUGUGUUUAAUUUCAGUCUUCUUGCUGAAACUCUGGAGAUUUGACAACAGUGUACGACAGGCUCUCAAACACCCAAACAAACACAAUGACAUUUAUAAACAGGCCAACUACCUGCCAUUUGAUGCUGCUGCUGUCCCUUCAUCACCUGCAGUGUCUGCAGCAGUGGUAGAAUAUGAACCCACCACGCACUCUCUGUAUGAGCCUUUCAUACACUGGGACCUGGUUCAGCACUGAGACUCCUGAUCCUCCUGGCAUUUACAAAAAUUAAAUGAGUUAUUAGAUAUUCAAGGUUAACUUCAGUGUAAGGCACUGUAGCGUAAUGGAAUGCAUCCUUUUUAAACAAUGUGAAAUGUAGUGAUACUAGCUUUGUCUUUAGAGGCCUCUGAUGUUCUGCCAUCAUUGUAACUAGGUAUUUAAAAAAGUUAAGCUGUACUAACUUUUGGGUAAUGUUUCAGAAUUAAGAAAACUUCAUUCAAAAUGCCAUUGAGAUUUUUAACAUCACUUAUAACCACAAACUGUGACUUUGUACACAGCUUUUCUCAACAAAAUAUCAUGUCUUGCUUAAUGAUAUACAAUGUAGUGUCCACAAGUCCAAAGUAGAGGGACUCAGAAUAUACAAAGUUAUACCUUCAACUUUGAUUCUAGGCAUUGAGAGCAGCCAGAAGACUGCGACAUGCAACCUGCUCUCUGGACUGUCUCUCCUUAUCAGAUGGAGGCCACCCAUUAGAAUGCAUCUUGGACUCACACCUCUGACCUUAGAAAAUAAUUUCCAAUUAACUCAAACCAGUACAUGACAUUUGGGUCCCUCUUGUCUGAUCAGUCUCCAAAGUAGCAAAACACAGGAAUGCAAAGGGAAUCUCCCUUAUCUUCACGAGAAUGUGAACAGUGCCAUAAGCUGACUUAACACACACAGUCUUUUGUAUAAACACUUGGAAAUGGAAACUUUAACCAAGAGUCGCUGUACCAGAGUCAAAUUCCUUGUGUGUUCAACACACCUGGCCAAUAAAGGUGAUUCUGAAGAGUUGUGUGAAAUAUCUAUAAAAAAUGUUGAAAUGUUUGUGUCAAACUGAUGAGCACAAAUAACUACAAAGACUUCUUCCUUAGAAUUCUUAUAACAGUAGAAAUGAUUCCAAAGCCUGAAGUUGCAAUGUGAUACAUUAAUGUUCAAUGAAACUAAUACAUGCUUAUUAUUUCAGAUGCUUGACAAGUCAACUAUCACCAGAGACUUUGUUAAUCCUGACCCCCAAACUCUGCAGUACUGCUCAGAAAGGGUUAUAUAAGAAAUUGCUCUUUGAUUUCUAUAUUUUAAUGAUUGUGUGUUAAUUGAUUGUCUUUUAUUCUCAAAGUUACAAAGUUAACCAUUCCUUUCUUUCCACAGAAUGAUCCACAUAUGAGUCUCAUGUCAAACUGUGUUGCUUAAAAUUGUGUUUAGAUGUAUCCCACAUUAGUUAUAUCAAAUGUUUUAAAGCAUGUAGAAUCUAGCUCAAAUUCUGACCAGAAUAACAACUUUCCACCAUUGUUAACAACAGGUCAGUCAUUCAUCAGAGUAUGUAUUACAUCUUUCCUCCUGAUCAUUUUCCCUGUGUACAUAUUGUAAAUAAAUGCAUUUAGCUUA
Monopterus albus (swamp eel) is the source of this 2075-nucleotide long non-coding RNA. RefSeq lists it as uncharacterized. The record is from RefSeq and is a predicted model, not a curated record. The transcript is spliced from 4 exons. NCBI's taxonomy places the organism in Eukaryota, Metazoa, Chordata, Actinopteri, Synbranchiformes, Synbranchidae.